UGUGGUAUUUACAUAUGUGUGUGUGUGACUGCUGCACACACUUUAAGAGCUGUAGUGCUGAUCAGAGUGUGUUCAGUCCUUUCAGAGCCACUGACACGCAGCACAAUGAUGAUGGUACUGAUUCUACUGCUGGGGACACUGGGACUCCUCGCUCACCAGUCCUUUGGGGAAAUCGUCCUGACUCAGUCUCCAGGAUCUCAGACUGUUUCUCCAGGAGACACUGUUACUCUCAGCUGUACAACCAGUCAGAGUGUUAGCAGUUACCUCGCCUGGUACCUGCAGAAACCUGGAGAAGCUCCUAAACUCCUGGUCUAUUAUGCAACUUCUCGUCAGUCUGGGAUUCCAGAUCGUUUCAGUGGCAGUGGAUCUGGUACACAGUUUAGUCUAAAAAUCUCUGGAGUUCAGUCUGAAGAUGCAGGAGAUUAUUACUGUCAGCAGGGUUACAGCGGGUACACACAGUGUUAUAGCACCGUACAAAAACCUCCCUCAGCUGUAGAGGAAGUGCUCUGAGUCAGAAACACACACUGAUCUGAGAACAGCUGCAGAGCUGCUAAAGCUGCACUCCACUGAACAUCAUCAAACAUCUUCAGCUUUAAUAAAUAAUCAUUCCAGUCCAAUAAUCAAUAAAACACUCCACCCUGCAGAUACACACUCCAUCACUGGAGAUAAACAUGAGAAGAUGUGGAACAGUGUUAGAUUUGUAUAAUGUCCAAUCAAAACUUAUUUCUAAGCACACAGAAUGGCACAAAUGUUCUUCAGUUUAAUGAAGAUAACAGACAAGUAUAUACACACUGCAAAAAA
This is a non-coding RNA of Silurus meridionalis, 801 nucleotides long. The record is from the annotation of a RefSeq genome assembly. Lineage: Eukaryota; Metazoa; Chordata; Actinopteri; Siluriformes; Siluridae.